UGCGUAGGCGGUUUGGUAAGUCUGAUGUGAAAUCUAUGGGCUCAACUCAUAGUCUGCAUCGGAAACUGCCGGGCUUGAGUGUGGGAGAGGUGAGUGGAAUUCCUGGUGUAGCGGUGAAAUGCGUAGAUAUCAGGAGGAACACCUGUGGCGAAAGCGGCUCACUGGACCAUAACUGACGCUGAUGCACGAAAGCUAGGGGAGCAAACA
RNAcentral lists this ribosomal RNA (207 nucleotides) under uncultured bacterium. RNAcentral describes it as "partial 16S ribosomal RNA". It matches the Rfam family "Bacterial small subunit ribosomal RNA", at positions 568 to 774 of the family's 1533-position model. The record is from RNAcentral.